RNAcentral lists this ribosomal RNA (445 nucleotides) under uncultured bacterium. RNAcentral describes it as "bacterial SSU rRNA". It matches the Rfam family "Bacterial small subunit ribosomal RNA", at positions 29 to 519 of the family's 1533-position model. The record is from RNAcentral.
AGCGAACGCUGGCGGCAGGCUUAACACAUGCAAGUCGAGCGGGCGUAGCAAUACGUCAGCGGCAGACGGGUGAGUAACGCGUGGGAACAUACCUCUUGGUUCGGAACAACACAGGGAAACUUGUGCUAAUACCGGAUAAGCCCUUACGGGGAAAGAUUUAUCGCCGAGAGAUUGGCCCGCGUCUGAUUAGCUAGUUGGUGAGGUAACGGCUCACCAAGGCGACGAUCAGAGCUGGUCUGAGAGGAUGAUCAGCCACAUUGGGACUGAGACACGGCCCAAACUCCUACGGGAGGCAGCAGUGGGGAAUAUUGGACAAUGGGCGCAAGCCUGAUCCAGCCAUGCCGCGUGAGUGAUGAAGGCCCUAGGGUGUAAAGCUCUUUUGUGCGGGAAGAUAAUGACGGUACCGCAAGAAUAAGCCCCGGCUAACUUCGUGCCAGCAGCCGCU